This 271-nucleotide unclassified non-coding RNA is filed under the name Hevea brasiliensis (rubber tree). Lineage: Eukaryota; Viridiplantae; Streptophyta; Magnoliopsida; Malpighiales; Euphorbiaceae. The record is from RNAcentral.
AAAGAACUACAGGUACUGCUGCUCGCCAACAAAGAUGAUCCACCUUUCCACUCUACCUCAGGACAUUUCCGAAGAGGAGAUAGUGAGCCAUUUAGAGGAGCAUGGCACCAUCGUCAAUACCAAACUCUUUGAGAUGAAUGGCAAGAAGCAGGCCCUUGUUCUGUUUGAAACUGAGGAGCAAGCCACUGAAGCUGUUGUGUGCAAGCAUGCAAGUUCACUUGCUGGGUCAAUAAUCCGGAUUUCCUUUUCCCAGCUACAAUCAAUUAGAGAA